Molecule: ribosomal RNA, 253 nt
Filed under: uncultured bacterium
Lineage: Bacteria
Description: partial 16S ribosomal RNA
Rfam family: Bacterial small subunit ribosomal RNA
Source: RNAcentral
GACGAAGGUGGCGAGCGUUGUUCGGAAUCACUGGGCAUAAAGCGCACGUAGGCGGCGGCGUAAGUUGGAUGUGAAAUCCCCCGGCCCAACCGGGGAACUGCGUCCAGUACUGCGUUGCUUGAGGAUCCAAGGGGUGCAUGGAAUUCCCGGUGGAGCGGUGAAAUGCGUUGAUAUCGGGAGGAACUCCGGCGGCGAAAGCGGUGCACUAGUGGAUUACUGACGCUGAGGUGCGAAAGCCAGGGGAGCAAACGGG